AUUGAACGCUGGCGGCAGGCCUAACACAUGCAAGUCGAGCGGAUGAAGGGAGCUUGCUCCUGGAUUCAGCGGCGGACGGGUGAGUAAUGCCUAGGAAUCUGCCUGGUAGUGGGGGAUAACGUCCGGAAACGGGCGCUAAUACCGCAUACGUCCUGAGGGAGAAAGUGGGGGAUCUUCGGACCUCACGCUAUCAGAUGAGCCUAGGUCGGAUUAGCUAGUUGGUGGGGUAAAGGCCUACCAAGGCGACGAUCCGUAACUGGUCUGAGAGGAUGAUCAGUCACACUGGAACUGAGACACGGUCCAGACUCCUACGGGAGGCAGCAGUGGGGAAUAUUGGACAAAGGGCGAAAGCCUGAUUCAGCCAUGCCGCGUGUGUGAAGAAGGUCUUCGGAUUGUAAAGCACUUUAAGUUGGGAGGAAGGGCAGUAAGUUAAUACCUUGCUGUUUUGACGUUACCAACAGAAUAAGCACCGGCUAACUUCGUG
This 484-nucleotide ribosomal RNA is filed under the name uncultured bacterium. RNAcentral's name for it is "partial 16S ribosomal RNA". It matches the Rfam family "Bacterial small subunit ribosomal RNA", at positions 30 to 507 of the family's 1533-position model. The record is from RNAcentral.